This is a long non-coding RNA of Mirounga angustirostris (Northern elephant seal), 999 nucleotides long. RefSeq lists it as uncharacterized. The transcript is spliced from 3 exons. Lineage: Eukaryota; Metazoa; Chordata; Mammalia; Carnivora; Phocidae. The record is from RefSeq and is a predicted model, not a curated record.
UAUUUGGAGAAAUCCAUUGCUCCAUGAAUAUACAUCUGUCAAUGCUGUGGCUUUAUUAUGUCACGGUCAUCCUAUCCUGAGCUGCCAGGAGUGCUCAUGACCCAUGUAUGAAGCUCAGCUUCAAACAUUAGGGACACAAUGGCUGAGAAUGAGCAAAGCUGAUGGAAACUAGUCUGGAAUGCACAAGGUUCAAGAAGGUGCGAGGAAUCCGUGGUGUUUCACCGUCAGUAAUUUUGCAGAUGAAGAAUAUGCCUUUUGUAUGGAGUAUGACAAGACUUGUUCAAAGUAUUUUCCAGUUGGUACAGAAGUUGGGGAGAGCGGCGGCACCCUCUAUCUGCUAGGAUAUGCGCAAGAGGCUGAGUGCUCUCAAGAAGGUGUCUGGCUUUCGCAGGGCUCACUGUGAGCCUGCACACAGGACCGACGAGGACAGUUAAAGGUUUUGUUCUAAGGGUGGCGUAUUGGAAGAAUGUGGCGCACCUCGUAAUCCUGGGAAGAAGACAGAUCUGGAGUCCACUGUGGAGUGACUUCGUGAGAGUGGUGGUGAUCUGCAGCAUCUGGCUAACGAGAUGUCUGUCUUUUAUUAAGUUAUGGGUGUAGUUUCUGUGCCUUUGUCCUCACGGCUGGGAUUUCCAAGGAGUGGGAUUUUUUUACAUCACUGUAACAGUUGUUCCCCCGGGGGUGGGCAAGUCCUGUUCGGCUGCUGAGAAGUGUGCCUCUAGCGGUUGGAGUGUGUAUUACAAGUCUAUAGGUAAAUCGUGGGGUGGUUACAGUGGUUGGCAGGCUAUUGUUAUUGACGAUUUUUAUGGGUGGAUUCCAUAGGAUGAGAUGUUAGAUCUUAAGGAUAGGGGUCCUCAUUAAGUGCCCAUAAAGAGUGCUUUUUCUGAGUUUAAUAGUAGAUAUAUUUUUAUUAGUUCUAAUAGCCCUCCUUGUUCUUGGAAUUCCAAUGAGCAGUGCAUUACUAUGUUGUCUGCAUUGUAUCCGUGUGUUGAUGAGGAUUUG